CAGUAGCCGCGGUAAUACGAAGGGUGCAAGCGUUAAUCGGAAUUACUGGGCGUAAAGCGUGCGUAGGCGGUGAGUUAAGUCUGCUGUGAAAUCCCCGGGCUCAACCUGGGAAUGGCAGUGGAUACUGGCUCGCUAGAGUGUGUCAGAGGAUGGUGGAAUUCCCGGUGUAGCGGUGAAAUGCGUAGAGAUCGGGAGGAACAUCAGUGGCGAAGGCGGCCAUCUGGGACAACACUGACGCUGAGGCACGAAAGCGUGGGGAGCAAACAGGAUUAGAUACCCCAGUAGUCCCUGUCUCUUAUAA
Molecule: ribosomal RNA, 301 nt
Filed under: uncultured bacterium
Lineage: Bacteria
Description: partial 16S ribosomal RNA
Rfam family: Bacterial small subunit ribosomal RNA
Source: RNAcentral